CCUACGGGAGGCAGCAGUGGGGAAUAUUGCACAAUGGGCGCAAGCCUGAUGCAGCCAUGCCGCGUGUGUGAAGAAGGCCUUCGGGUUGUAAAGCACUUUCAGCGGGGAGGAAGGCGAUAAGGUUAAUAACCUUGUUGAUUGACGUUACCCGAAGAAGAAGCACCGGCUAACUACGUGCCAGCAGCCGCGGUAAU
Molecule: ribosomal RNA, 194 nt
Filed under: uncultured bacterium
Lineage: Bacteria
Description: partial 16S ribosomal RNA
Rfam family: Bacterial small subunit ribosomal RNA
Source: RNAcentral